AUUAAAUAUGACAUGUUUUAAGGCGUUUUAUUAAUAAGUAAUGCGUGCAGAAAGAUCCGUUUGAAAUCAAGCAAAACGUUUUGAACGUAUAGCGAGGUUAAAGUAACUCUCUCACAAAUUAUAAUAAUACUGGCGGUGGAGUUUACAAAAUGUGUCUAAAUUAGGUCAAUUAAAUUAAUGUAUUCGAAUACUAAUCAGGAACAGACAUUUACUUAAUUGAAUAGACGUUUUAUCAAUUUAGGCUGCAUAUCAGUCAAUUUGCAAACUGCUAAAUAUGUAUUAUUUUGGAAAAAAGAAUGGUCGUAAGCCUAUCCUAGUAUGUACGAACGGUCUGUCUGUUGUUUAAACUUCCAAUGAGAAGUUACCAUUGUUUCAAGGACUUAUUACAGAUUAACGAUUUCAUUAUAUCAGAAGCUAUAAAACGUGAAUAAGCCACUUUAACAUUAGUGGUUAGAUGUAAAAAUGUAAAAAAAAUCUUCUUAGAAAUGUUUUUAAGCAUUAAAAUAAACAACAAGGCAGAAGUGUCCGGUGUUACCACUUUAAAUAUAAGGAUGUUUUCAACAAAAACAAACAACCAAAGACGAAUUCAGGUUGUUGAAAACAAUUUAAACACGUUCAAAAAUGAACACAGUUGCGGUGUUUCUGUUUGCCGUAUGUGCAGUGUUGGCUGAAGGCUGAUCAGUCAAACCCGUAUAAAGCUUACCUGCUACGUACGGAUCCCUUCCGUGUUUUUCCCGACUAAUCAUGUCCUUCAGAACGCAUGGAUCACGACCCUCCGUUCCAUCGGUGAUGUGGUAAACAUAUUGUGCAAGUCGCGCAGAAACUGGUUCGCCGUUGCGGGUUACCAUGCACCGCUUUAGUUCCGCGUCCUGUCUAUAGGGAAAGUCCACUGCCGUUCGUUUGAAGUGAUUAAAACAUUGAUGCCUUAAUGCCUCAAGAUCACUUUCAUUCGCAGCGUACUCACGUAAUAUUUGUUGAACACACAUGUCCCUGGAAGCUCGCGGUACAACUUUACAAGAGCUCGGUAUUUCUCCACAGCCCGGAAGUCCAUGUCUCCUGUAUAGCUUGCCAAGGCGACCAUCAGGAGUCAUGUGACCAAACAAUGGAUACGUCGGGUGACGAUGAAAUUCACUAUCAUCUUUAGUAUAGUUUACGCACGUCUGCUAGUCCAUUACAACAUAUAAACGUAGAUAGAAAUAUCCUUUUUAUUACUUAUGAAACGAGUAAUUGAUCAAAAGUCCGAGGGUUGAAAAUUGCGACUGCUUCUACGCGCAUUCACACCGAACAUUGCAAAUGAACUAUAACGUGCUCGGGAUUUCAUUGCAAAAUAUCGUAUGUAUAACUGAUAAACACUCUGAACUAAACAGAACAGAACAAAACAA
Molecule: long non-coding RNA, 1382 nt
Organism: Mya arenaria
Lineage: Eukaryota; Metazoa; Mollusca; Bivalvia; Myida; Myidae
Exons: 2
Source: RefSeq, a predicted model, not a curated record